RNAcentral lists this ribosomal RNA (468 nucleotides) under uncultured bacterium. Its description in RNAcentral is "partial 16S ribosomal RNA". It matches the Rfam family "Bacterial small subunit ribosomal RNA", at positions 28 to 507 of the family's 1533-position model. The record is from RNAcentral.
GACGAACGCUGGCGGCGUGCUUAACACAUGCAAGUCGAACGGAAAGGCCCUGCUUUUGUGGGGUGCUCGAGUGGCGAACGGGUGAGUAACACGUGAGUAACCUGCCCUUGACUUUGGGAUAACUUCAGGAAACUGGGGCUAAUACCGGAUAGGAGCUCCUGCUGCAUGGGGGGGGUUGGAAAGUUUCGGCGGUUGGGGCUGGACUCGCGGCUUAUCAGCUUGUUGGUGGGGUAGUGGCUUACCAAGGCUUUGACGGGUAGCCGGCCUGAGAGGGUGACCGGCCACAUUGGGACUGCGGUACGGCCCAGACUCCUACGGGAGGCAGCAGUGGGGAAUAUUGCACAAUGGGCGGAAGCCUGAUGCAGCAACGCCGCGUGCGGGAUGACGGCCUUCGGGUUGUAAACCGCUUUCGCCUGUGACGAAGCGUGAGUGACGGUAAUGGGUAAGGAAGCACCGGCUAACUACGUG